RNAcentral lists this ribosomal RNA (465 nucleotides) under uncultured bacterium. RNAcentral's name for it is "partial 16S ribosomal RNA". It matches the Rfam family "Bacterial small subunit ribosomal RNA", at positions 28 to 507 of the family's 1533-position model. The record is from RNAcentral.
GACGAACGCUGGCGGCGUGCUUAACACAUGCAAGUCGAACGGAAAGGCCCUGCUUGCAGGGUACUCGAGUGGCGAACGGGUGAGUAACACGUGGGUGAUCUGCCCUGCACUUCGGGAUAAGCCUGGGAAACUGGGUCUAAUACCGGAUAGGAGCCAUUUUUAGUGUGAUGGUUGGAAAGUUUUUUCGGUGUAGGAUGAGCUCGCGGCCUAUCAGCUUGUUGGUGGGGUAAUGGCCUACCAAGGCGGCGAUGGGUAGCCGGCCUGAGAGGGUGGACGGCCACAUUGGGACUGAGAUACGGCCCAGACUCCUACGGGAGGCAGCAGUGGGGAAUAUUGCACAAUGGGCGCAAGCCUGAUGCAGCGACGCCGCGUGGGGGAUGACGGCCUUCGGGUUGUAAACUCCUUUCGCUAGGGACGAAGCUUUUUGUGACGGUACCUAGAUAAGAAGCACCGGCUAACUACGUG